Molecule: ribosomal RNA, 574 nt
Filed under: uncultured delta proteobacterium
Lineage: Bacteria; Deltaproteobacteria
Description: bacterial SSU rRNA
Rfam family: Bacterial small subunit ribosomal RNA
Source: RNAcentral
GCUGGCGGCGUGCCUAACACAUGCAAGUCGAACGAGAAAUUUCCGCUUCGGCGGAAAAAGUAAAGUGGCGCACGGGUGAGUAACGCGUGGGUAACCUGCCUUUGAAUCUAGGAUAACCCCGUGAAAACGGGACUAAUACUGGAUAAUGUCCCUUUGACUUUGGCCUUAGGGAUGAAAGGUGACCUCUUCAUGAAAGUUGCCGUUCAGAGAGGGGCCCGCGUACCAUUAGCUUGUUGGUGGGGUAAUGGCCUACCAAGGCUACGAUGGUUAGCUGGUCUGAGAGGAUGAUCAGCCACACUGGAACUGGAACACGGUCCAGACUCCUACGGGAGGCAGCAGUGAGGAAUUUUGCGCAAUGGGGGAAACCCUGACGCAGCAACGCCGCGUGAGUGAUGAAGAUUUUCGGAUCGUAAAGCUCUGUCAAGCGGGAAAAAACGCUUCCGGUCAAUAGCCGGAAGAAUUGAUGGUACCGCUGGAGGAAGCACCGGCUAACUCCGUGCCAGCAGCCGCGGUAAUACGGAGGGUGCAAGCGUUGUUCGGAUUUACUGGGCGUAAAGGGCGUGUAGGUGGUUUA